This 425-nucleotide long non-coding RNA is filed under the name Canis lupus familiaris (dog). RNAcentral's name for it is "lncRNA (ENSCAFG00845022935.1)". The record is from RNAcentral. Lineage: Eukaryota; Metazoa; Chordata; Mammalia; Carnivora; Canidae.
UCCGAGCGUGUGCGGGGCUGGAGCGCGGUGGGACGCGUGGCGGCGGCGGCGGCGGCGGCGGCCCCGUCCCCGCGGAUUGUUGGCUGGCGGUGCGGAUGGACGGACGGGCCACAACGCAUGUCGCCCUUCGCCUGCUGAACUCAGAGCGCUCGAGGAUGUCGGCGCUGAGGAAGGUCUGUAUGAGCUGUUGGCUGUUGUGCCAGGCCGGCUGGGGCCACGUGUGGACAGCCAGGAAGACCUGACCUUCCUCUGGGAUAUGUUUGGUGAGAAAAGCCUGCAUUCACCGGUAAAGAUCUUCACAAUAUCCUGGGUAGCCUUAGGUUGUGAGGUGGAAGUCUCUACUCUUCUGUGGGUAAGUUUAUGAAAGACUGAAGUUCGUUUGUCCUUUAGCAGAACUGACUUGUUGGGUUCCUUGGGCCUGGAUG